UGGGGAAUAUUGCACAAUGGGCGAAAGCCUGAUGCAGCAACGCCGCGUGAGUGAUGAAGGCCUUCGGGUUGCAAAGCUCUGUCUUUUGGGACGAUAAUGACGGUACCAAAGGAGGAAGCCACGGCUAACUACGUGCCAGCAGCCGCGGUAAUACGUAGGUGGCAAGCGUUGUCCGGAUUUACUGGGCGUAAAGGAUGCGUAGGCGGAUUUUUAAGUGAGAUGUGAAAUACCCGGGCUUAACUUGGGUGCUGCAUUUCAAACUGGGAAUCUAGAGUGCGGGAGAGGAGAAUGGAAUUCCUAGUGUAGCGGUGAAAUGCGUAGAGAUUAGGAAGAACACCAGUGGCGAAGGCGAUUCUCUGGACCGUAACUGACGCUGAGGCAUGAAAGCGUGGGUAGCAAACAGGAUUAGAUACCCUGGUAGUCCACGCCGUAAACGAUGAGUACUAGGUGUAGGAGGUAUCGACCCCUUCUGUGCCGCAGUUAACACAAUCAAGUACUCCGCCUGGGAAGUACGAUCGCAAGAUUAAAACUCAAAGGAA
Molecule: ribosomal RNA, 539 nt
Filed under: uncultured bacterium
Lineage: Bacteria
Description: partial 16S ribosomal RNA
Rfam family: Bacterial small subunit ribosomal RNA
Source: RNAcentral